Molecule: unclassified non-coding RNA, 89 nt
Filed under: Pseudomonas sp. LAMO17WK12:I5
Lineage: Bacteria; Pseudomonadati; Pseudomonadota; Gammaproteobacteria; Pseudomonadales; Pseudomonadaceae
Also listed under: 1 other name
Source: RNAcentral
CGUGGGAGCGGGCUUGCUCGCGAAAGCGGUGUGUCAGAUGACAACUUUGUGUCUGACACACCGCCUUCGCGAGCAAGCCCGCUCCCACA